This 330-nucleotide unclassified non-coding RNA is filed under the name soil metagenome. RNAcentral's name for it is "partial contains 5.8S ribosomal RNA, internal transcribed spacer 2, and large subunit ribosomal RNA". The stretch from base 1 to 120 matches the Rfam family "5.8S ribosomal RNA", at positions 35 to 154 of the family's 154-position model. The record is from RNAcentral.
GAUGAAGAACGUAGUGAAAUGCGAUAAGUAAUGUGAAUUGCAGAAUUCAGUGAAUCAUCGAAUCUUUGAACGCACAUUGCGCCCUCUGGUAUUCCGGGGGGCAUGCCUGUUCGAGCGUCAUUACAACCCUCAAGCUUUGCUUGGUAUUGGACAUUGCCAGUUUCUGGCAGGUCUUAAAAUCAGUGGCGGUGCCAUUUGGCUUCAAGCGUAGUAAUUCUUCUCGCUUUGGAGAUCCAAGUGGUUACUUGCCAAUAACCCCCAAUUUUUUCAGGUUGACCUCGGACCAGGUAGGGAUACCCGCUGAACUUAAGCAUAUCAAUAAGCGGAGGA